Molecule: ribosomal RNA, 847 nt
Filed under: Oxalobacteraceae bacterium AKB-2008-KK7
Lineage: Bacteria; Pseudomonadati; Pseudomonadota; Betaproteobacteria; Burkholderiales; Oxalobacteraceae
Description: bacterial SSU rRNA
Rfam family: Bacterial small subunit ribosomal RNA
Source: RNAcentral
AGAUUGAACGCUGGCGGCAUGCCUUACACAUGCAAGUCGAACGGCAGCGCGGGGCAACCUGGCGGCGAGUGGCGAACGGGUGAGUAAAAUAUCGGAACAUACCCUAGAGUGGGGGAUAACGUAGCGAAAGUUACGCUAAUACCGCAUACGAUCUAAGGAUGAAAGUGGGGGCUCGCAAGACCUCAUGCUCAUGGAGUGGCCGAUAUCUGAUUAGCUAGUUGGUAGGGUAAAAGCCUACCAAGGCGACGAUCAGUAGCUGGUUUGAGAGAACGACCAGCCACACUGGAACUGAGACACGGUCCAGACUCCUACGGGAGGCAGCAGUGGGGAAUUUUGGACAAUGGGGGCAACCCUGAUCCAGCAAUGCCGCGUGAGUGAAGAAGGCCCUCGGGUUGUAAAGCUCUUUUGUCAGGGAAGAAACGGUGUUUCCUAAUACGGAAUGCUAAUGACGGUACCUGAAGAAUAAGCACCGGCUAACUACGUGCCAGCAGCCGCGGUAAUACGUAGGGUGCAAGCGUUAAUCGGAAUUACUGGGCGUAAAGCGUGCGCAGGCGGUUUUAUAAGUCUGAUGUGAAAUCCCCGGGCUCAACCUGGGAACUGCAUUGGAGACUGUAAGGCUAGAGUGUGUCAGAGGGGGGUAGAAUUCCACGUGUAGCAGUGAAAUGCGUAGAUAUGUGGAGGAAUACCGAUGGCGAAGGCAGCCCCCUGGGAUAACACUGACGCUCAUGCACGAAAGCGUGGGGAGCAAACAGGAUUAGAUACCCUGGUAGUCCACGCCCUAAACGAUGUCUACUAGUUGUCGGGUCUUAAUUGACUUGGUAACGCAGCUAACGCGUGAAGUAGACCG